UAUUAACCCUGUAGGUAGUAAUAAAAACUAAUAUACACUGGCGGUCUUUUUUUUCUAGAGAAACUCGCUUUAUAAUCGUAAAUACCCGUUAAUUUUAACUUUAUUUACUUAGCCUAUAUACCGCCGUUUCAGGUCUUAGAGCCUUCUAAAUCCCAUAAAAUAAAAUUCUAAUAAAAAUCAGGUCAAGGUGUAGCUAAUAAUAAAGAAAAAGUAAGUUACAUUAAAAAUAAUUUAAGAAUAUCCCACAAAAAUAAUAAUUGAAAAAGAAUUUAGAUGUACGUUAUAGUUAACAACUAAGACUGAAACCAAAAUAAAAGAUGC
Molecule: ribosomal RNA, 321 nt
Filed under: Pholcus fagei
Lineage: Eukaryota; Metazoa; Arthropoda; Arachnida; Araneae; Pholcidae
Description: partial 12S ribosomal RNA
Source: RNAcentral